Molecule: non-coding RNA, 6227 nt
Organism: Ictidomys tridecemlineatus (thirteen-lined ground squirrel)
Lineage: Eukaryota; Metazoa; Chordata; Mammalia; Rodentia; Sciuridae
Source: RefSeq, a predicted model, not a curated record
CCCUGCGUUCCCUGCGCCCUGGGCCCGGCAGCGGCUUCUUCCGGUCUGUAGGCUUCGGAAACCGAAAGGACUGUGCCUAGGACACCGCGCCGAGACCGAUUCACCUUCACCUGUGCAGAGCGCCAGCUGACCCGAGGAGGAAGCCAGGCGAGCAGUGGAACAUGAACGGAAGGGUGGAUUAUUUGGUCACUGAGGAAGAGAUCAAUCUUACGAGAGGACCCUCAGGGCUGGGCUUCAACAUCGUCGGUGGGACAGAUCAACAGCAAGUCUCCAAUGACAGUGGCAUCUACGUCAGCCGCAUCAAAGAGAAUGGGGCUGCCGCCCUGGAUGGGCGGCUCCAGGAGGGUGAUAAGAUCCUCUCGGUAAAUGGUAAAGACCUAAAGAACCUGCUGCACCAGGAUGCGGUAGACCUCUUUCGUAAUGCAGGCUAUGCUGUUUCAUUGAGAGUGCAACACAGGUUACAGGAGCAGAAUGGACCUAUAGGACAUCGAGGUGAAGGGGAGCCAAGUGGUGUUCCCAUAGCUAUGGUGCUGCUGCCAGUGUUUGCCCUCACCAUGGUUGCAGCCUGGGCCUUCAUGAGAUACCGGCAACACCUUUGAAAGUCUUGCUGUCUUCUAGUGCUCCCAGUGAACUUACAUUUCUUUUCUCCUCCUUCCCUGCUGUUGUCCUGUAUCUUUCCCUCUCUGCAUAGCCAACACAUGAUUUAAAGUGACUGAUUCCCACCCAGAACCUUGCUAUUCAGAAGCUCCAAGUCUUCAUAUUCUAAUGGGAGAGUAAAGGUAUUGUUUGAAGGAAAGCUGAAGAAAAGACUUGCUUAGAACAAAUGAGGAGUUAUAUAUUUUACUAGGACUGCUAAUAGAAAUUCAGCUACCACCCAAAGAUGGAAUGGUGUAGUCUUCCUGUCAUCAUGGGUCACACCAUUUUAUUAGCUGCUGUGUCUUGAAGGCCAGCUGUAUGACAUAAGAGGAAGAGAGGAUUUUUCUUUUUUAAUGAUCUUCCUUGGGAAGUACUUGUGGCCUUUAUUUAAUUUUUAAAUACAUUUUUGGUGCCUAUAUUGGACACAGGAGACUAAGAAGAGCUUUUUACUUUUUUAAAAAAGCGAAUACAUAUAUAUAAUACAGAUACAUAUGCAUAUAUGACAGUAUAAUAUUGAUACCUUAUGGAAAAUUAAAGAGGUGAGAAAACUGCUCUGUGGUUUCUAGAUUUCUGUAUAUAAGGGCUACUCUUAAUUGAAGAACUUUUAAACAGCUGUUUGCAGAACAUAUGUAAUGGGAAACAGGAAGAUGAACUUUCAAAGGGCAUGCCUAAUCAAAGUCAUUUAAAAAAUAAUAACUAAAGCAACUAAUUAAAAAUCAGAACAAUAUUUCUUUUCAUACUAGCUAUGAUAAAGUAGAGGUAAAUUUGGUAUAAGACAGCUGAGCUCAGGUCAAUCAGUUCAAAAAACUUUGAGGUAUAAAGAUAAAUCUUACCAAUUUGUGGCUAUACUAAUGGCUUUUUUUGAUACCUCACAGUACUGUUAAAGGAUCAGUGGGGAUGAUUGUGGUCAAAGAUAUGGCAGUGGGACCAAACCGACCCAUCAAGACAACUUCUGAAAGGACAAAAGAUAGUGCCUUCGAGGAGGCAUCUGAACCCUCUCAGGCAAUCUACCAAUCUUUUUGGUUUCUAGUAACAGGAAAAAAACCUGAGAAAAGAACUGCCUCCUGGACAGGAUAGGCAUGAAAUCAGCUCUGUUUCUGAUUUUAGGGAAUAUGAGAAGGCCUGAAUUACUAGCUUUUUGAAAGGCUCCAAACAAUGAGUGUGGCUUUUAAUACAUUAAAAUAAGCCAUUUUUCAGAGACUGGGAGGAAAUGAGUUUUGUUUGUUUUAGGGUUAGGGAUAUUUGAUGGCUGUUUCCUGGGGAAAGCCUGGAAAGAAAAUAUGGAUGAAUGGAUGCUAGGGAAUACGGGGGAUGUUGGUGACGUGGGACCCAUCUUAUUUAAGUGUUGGUUUUAAAGCACUGAGAAUAACUGAACUAAAGCUUAGCCUUAGAAAGUCAUUUCCAUUCUCCAAAUAUACCAGCCAGACUGGAGGCUUUAUAUCAUUGUGACUUAAGAUGAUGAGGAAUUUUCCUCAGGUAAUAAAAUGUAUCCAGUUUUUAGUAUGGACAAAUUAACAGUUAUUUAAUAAAUACUGGUUGGACAUCAGCUUUGUUGAGAUGCUUUUACAAAGAAGUGAAAUAUUAACUUUCAUCCUAAAGGGUUUUUUGGUUCCAGUUGGGAAGAGAAAGCUUUAAAUGGAAUUAGACACAUAAACAGGGGAGUGUAAGUUGGUGUCAAGUUUAUAUUGCAGGAAGCAAAAGAAAAAAGUUAGAAUUGAAGCACUUGAGGAAAGGGCACAAGUUAAGGACUCUUAAAUAAGAGUUCACAGUCUAGUUAAGAAAAUUCAUAAAUAGAUGAAAAGUUUAUUUUCAGAUUAAGUAAUAAUUGAAAAUAGUAAUGAAAAGAAAUAGGACCAUGGAGAACAUGAAGCAGCAAUGAAGAUCUACAGGUGGUCAUCAGUUUUAUUUUCUAGAGAGUUCAGAAAAGGAAAUCUGUCUUUUAAUGGCAUCGGACUAGAAUGGAAAGGGAAGGCCUUUUAAAAUAAAAAGUUCCAGUAAGACCUUGCCUCUGGGUCAAUAAUUGACAUAGGGAGAAACAUGCUUUAAACAAUCCUAACUUAUGCCUUCCAACCUGAACUAUUCAGUACUUUUUGAGACUCAUUGUAGGUUCCAUGGAGAAAAACCAAACAGUAUCCAGUUAUUAUUUUAACCAGUCCACCAUGAAGGCCCAACUUCUAGUGCUUUCCCUAGAUCUGAUGGCAAGGCAUGUGCAACUACUUCUAUAGUGGCCUGUUUAACCUCCCAGGAUUCACCUCAGGGUUUAGACAUUAAUUCAUGAAAGACCUUGGGACAUACAAACUGAAGCAAAUGGAAAGCAGAAAAGAGAUUUGCUUUUUUACUUGUUAGUAUAUGUAAAUAAAAAGCCACCUAUCCCAUCAUCGGUAGUUUUGCUUUGUGGUAAUAGGGAUUCUUAUGCACUUAUAUUACAGGUUUUCUUGGAAAUUAAAUAGCAUUUAAAGACCAAAAUAUUAAAGUUUGAUGCAGGUAUUGCUAUUUAUUAUGUUGUUCUAAUUCUAUGGAAAACAAAUUAUUACCAUGGAUGAGGUAUCAGAAUCCAUUAUAUGUUGUAAAAAAAAUUCAUAUUCUUUAUAGAUUGAACCUAAUAUUCCUAAUACUUAAUACUGUUUUUAAUAUUCCUACCACCUAAAUUAUAAUGAAAGCUUUGAAAAACGGGAUGCAGGUAUUUUUAAUGCCUUGUACUUUAAAAUAUUUCUCAUACUUGUCAUGAUUAUACAUGUAAUUUUCGUUAGAUGGGCUGCUUUUCCUGUGAAACAUUAACUUCUGUGCAAACAUCUUAGUGUAAUCAUUGGUCCAUCUAGCUAUGUAUAAUGGAAAAAGGAAGUUAAUAUUUGUUUUUGCAUUCUGUGCCAGGAACUGUACCAGUGGUGCUCAAAGGGAAGUUUCUGGACAAAAGCAUCACUACUGGGAAAUAUGUUAGAAAAGCAAUUUUUAGGCUUCAUUCUAGACCUACUGAGAGGCUCUGAGUGUGGCAACCAGCAAUCUGUUUUAAUAAUCCCUCCAGGAUACUGAUUGGUACACUAUUUAUGUCUCACAGCUCUGAGAUCUAAGUAUUGCUAUCAAGAGACUACAGAUUAGAGAGUAUUUUCCUAAGAUUAUGGAGGUGGUAAUAACAGGAUUUAAAUUUAGGAUUCAGGUACCAGCAUCAGUUAUAUAUAUGGCAACCAGCAAUCUUAAUAAUCCCUCCAGGAGACCAAUUCAUGCUUAAGUUUGAGAGGUUACCACUCUGUGUUAGUAGUUUUCCUUUUUUCUUGGGUGAGAAUCACCUAGAGAGCUAGUGAAAGUAAUUAUGACCAGGCUAUACUUCAGAGCAACAUACAGGGCUAGGACUCAGGCAGCAAUAAAACAGGUUUAUCAGGCAAUUCCGGUUACAACCUAAGUUGACAAUGUUCUUUGGCAAUUGGAUUUAGACACUGUUUAAACUACUAAAUUACCUACAGGCUUUACUCUUGCCCCAAACCAAUAACUUCCCUUGAGCCAUUUCAGAACCUGAUAUAGAUGUGGAUUAAGUAGAACAUUCUUUCACUCCUGAUGUGUUAAUGAGAAACUAUUCCACCUCCAGCAAAAUGUAUGAUUAGUGUUUCAGUUCAUGCAUCCAUUAAGAACCAAAUGAGGGAUUCCAUCUCUUGGGGCCCCUUUCUACUGUCCUUUAAUAAAGCUUCUACUUUCCACUCUAAAAAAAAAAAAAAAAAAAAAAAAAGAAAGAAGAAGAAGAACCAAAUGAGAGAAUAUUGAAGCUAAAAAGGAACCAGAAGGAUUAUGGAAUGAAUUUGCCUUAGAAAUAAGGAAAUCAGUGUUUAGAGAGGUAAGCUAAUUUAAUUUGGUCAAACUUUUUUUUUAAGUCUGUUGCAGAGGUACCCUAUAAAAUAUGUAAUAUAUGUUGUAGAUGGACACAAUACCUCUAUUUUAUUUUUAUGUGGUGCCAGGGAUCAAACCCAGUGCCUUAUGCAUACAAGGCAAGUGCUCUACCACUGAGCCACAACCUUGCAGAGGACCCCUUUUUCUCUCAUCUUUUCCUUUUGAAUGUGUCCACUGAUUGCAUAUAUAAAAAGUCCUUUUUAAUUUCAGUCCUCAUCCAUCUUCUCUCUUUUGAACUUUGAAUGAAGACCAGAAGAACUGAUAGCUGAAGGGUAUUAACAAGCAUCACUUGCAUCCAAAAGGACAAUCAGGAUCAAAAGGAAGACAUAUUUUAAGGAAUCUGUUCUGGUUGGAACCAGAUUCUUAAUUGCUGUAUUCUCUUGUUUAGUGUUAGUAUUUACAAAGCAUGUGAUCUACUUACCUGCUUCACUUGAUAGCAUAAAAUUAUUAAAUUAUUAAAAAGCAUUAUGGCUGCUAAGGAAUUAAGUUAUAGCAAACAUUAAUGCCUGUUCCUAAAAAAUUUCCUUUUUUUUAAUGUUCUCUAUUUUCCCAGGAAAAAUAGGGAAGGGAAGAGGGCUGAAGUAGAUUUUCAAAUGCAAUGUAAUUAUUAACCAGCAAGGUCAUUUACAAAAUAACUUUGUAAAUUUAUUGACAAAUCACAGGAAAAUAGGUGAUCCUUCUUCCUUGUUUGAAGAUUCUCAAAUGAAGACACAGAACUGAAUCCCAUUUUAAUGCUGUAUCUGCAGUGCUGCUUUGAUUAUGGAGAAACUGAGGUAUACAGUAGUGAUGUUUAAGUUUAUCGAGUGACUGUGCCAGAGAGUAUUCCAAGACAUUAGUCAAGACCCAGAAUAUGUGAGGUACUGGCCUCCACACCAAUUUGAUGGGGAUCAGGAACCAGAUUCAAGUCCCUAAGCCCCUUCAACGUCACGGAACUAAAGCGGUGACUCCCCCGUUUCCGGGCGGUCGCGGGAGUGUGUUACGAUGAAUCGAUUAGUUCUGCCUGGUAGGACCGGAAACCAGAUAGCAAAGGAGAGAUGAUGAGGCUGGAACGCCUUCCUUUGCUCAAAUUUACGAGACUUCACUGGGUCUGAGCGGAGGGGCGUCUCAGCGAACUGGAGAAUUCAAUCAUGGUUGCACCAGCAGUGUUGCGUGCCUUGCGCAAAAACAAGACCCUUAGCUACGGCGUCCCGAUGUUGGGUAGAAGUUUUAAACUUUUAUGUGGGUACAUGUAUUGGACUGAAAAAUUCAUGGCUUCAAUGUCUUGUUGAUACUCCCUUCAAAAUUUUGCUGGUUGUUGGAGGUUCUUUUGGUCUUCGUGAAUUUUCACAAAUCCGAUAUGAUGCUGUGAAGAUUAAAGUAUCAAACCCAGGGCCAUGUGCAUGCUAGGCAAAGUGCUCUACCACUGAGCUACAUCCUCAGCACUAAACAAAAUCAGUUGACAAGACCAAAGGAGAAUGAGUUCAGUUGAGAAAUUGGGAGGAGGAGAAAGAAGACAAUAAUGAGGCCUGGAUGAUGUCUUUAACCCCAUCAGCAGCCAUCUAUCUGGUUUCAACCCUUAGCUCUUAUUCUAUAGCUCUACCAGGUUUGGCAUGUGUGCCCAAGGACAAAAUGGACUUUCAACCUCAAUUCUCAGUUCUUAUGAAAUCCUCCCCAUUGAUCCUGAAUUGGAAAAAAAACUGAAAAUGAAUAAAGUAUCUUUAGAGUCAGAGUAUGAG